Molecule: long non-coding RNA, 421 nt
Organism: Nicotiana tabacum (common tobacco)
Lineage: Eukaryota; Viridiplantae; Streptophyta; Magnoliopsida; Solanales; Solanaceae
Source: RefSeq, a predicted model, not a curated record
GAAAAAGAAAAAGUAAAAGUCCUAACACAGAUACAAAAAACAAAAAGCCUAAAGUUAAUACAAGCCCUAAACAAGAGCUGCCGUCCACACUCAAGAUUACCACCGAGAAAGGCUUACGGGAAAAUCCAAGAGAUUAAGAGAGAGCUUCUUGAGGCCUCUCCAGUUUGAAGCUAACUUAAGUCUCAUCUCCCUUUACACUAGGUGAACCAAAUGAUCAAGGGGAAGAUGAAAGCAAUGAAGACCUUACCUAAAAGUAUUGGUUGAAGAAUCUUCAGACAAUCUAGGAAUGUUUUUAUUUUUGAACUAUUUUUCAAACUUAUAUAUUCCAACUCUUGGAUUAUUAAACACUUUUAUCGUAUAUUUUGCUUUUAUAAAUGGAUCAUCGUAGUUGUAUAUUUUGAAUUAUGAUUCUGUUGAUGAA